GGUAUCAUGGCAGAGUGGUUAUUGCGAGUAACUGUUAAUUACUUAUUCAAUGGUUCAAUUCCAUUUGAUGCCU
RNAcentral lists this transfer RNA (73 nucleotides) under Armillaria gallica. RNAcentral describes it as "tRNA-Asn". It matches the Rfam family "tRNA". Rfam says of the family: Transfer RNA (tRNA) molecules are approximately 80 nucleotides in length. Their secondary structure includes four short double-helical elements and three loops (D, anti-codon, and T loops). The record is from RNAcentral. RNAcentral also lists the same sequence under 8 other names. Lineage: Eukaryota; Fungi; Basidiomycota; Agaricomycetes; Agaricales; Physalacriaceae.